AAAAAGACAAAUCCUGGUUGCCGUGCCCAACAUUUGACCGUCCGUCUUAUUUGAAAAAAUUAUGAAAAAAAUUUAAAAAGACAAGUCACGCAUAAAAUAUUAAUCAUGUUUUAUCAUCUAACAAUAAUAAAAAUACGAAUUAUAAAAAAAUUUCAUAUAAGACGGACAGUCAAAGUUAGAUACGUAAACCUAGGGUUUGCCUUUUU
This is a non-coding RNA of Oryza nivara, 206 nucleotides long. The record is from Rfam. Lineage: Eukaryota; Viridiplantae; Streptophyta; Magnoliopsida; Poales; Poaceae.